RNAcentral lists this long non-coding RNA (1866 nucleotides) under Rhinopithecus bieti (black snub-nosed monkey). RNAcentral describes it as "lncRNA (ENSRBIG00000045359.1)". Lineage: Eukaryota; Metazoa; Chordata; Mammalia; Primates; Cercopithecidae. The record is from RNAcentral.
GGCGCCGCGGCGGCCGCGGAGCCCGGGGACCCCGCCCAGGUGAGCGGGGCUGGCCGUGCAGCCCGUCGUCCCCGCCGCCUCCCCACCCCACGCCGAGGUUCCCGUGGCGAGGGCGGGCACUGGGCGCGGGGCGACAGGGUCGUGCCGAGGACCGUCGGCUCGGCUCCGGUGCUGGAAGCGUAGACUUCGGCCCCAAUCCUCUGGCCCGGUUCGCGGAGGGAAGGGGCCAGCAGGCUGCUUGCCCCCUCGUCAGGGGCUCCCCUGCUCCUUCUCUAGAGAGCCCGCAAGCCCCGGGGUCGCCGGCGUCCAGACCUGCCCGCGCCAGAGCUGUGGACCGAGCUGACCGGCCUGAUCGGUAGGUGCGGGCUGGGAGCCCCGCUGUGCGAGGGCGGUGCCGGGACCUCCCUGGGAGGGCGGAGGCCUGGUUCUAGCACGUGACCCGAAAUGCCUCCCGCUCCCCUCCAUGACCGGCAGGCAGCUCCGAGCCUGAAAAUGGGUCGGAAAGCGGAGCCGAGGGCCGCGCAGCAGCUGUGUCCCUGGAGGAGGCCCUCCUGCGCCUCGCCGAGUUCCUCUCCGUCCAGCUGGGGGCGGAAGAGAGCUGCGGGAGCCCGGCCGACCUGGGCCAGGUGAGCUCGGCGGAGGGGCUGCUGGCAGCUGUCACCUGCCAGGCCUUCUUGGCUCUCACAGCCCUGCUCCGAUUUUUAUCUCCUUCACAGUCUGGCGAGGUCCCCCCACUGUUGACAGUGACCAGUCAGCUCUUGGCCCUUCUGGCAUGGCUUCGGAGCCCCAGGGGGAGGCAGGCCCUGCUCCAGGGAACUCAGCCAGCCCCUCGGGUCCGGCCCCCCACUCCAGAUGGAUCCACAUCCCAAGAAGAAAGCACUUCCCACCUCGCCGCAGUCCCAGGGGAGCCACUGGGGGAUGAGGCCCAGGGACAGCAGCCCCUCCAGUUGGAGGACGACCAGAGAGAGUGGCAGCGGCUGGAACAGCUCAUCCUCGGACAGCUGGAGGAGCUGAAGCAGCAGCUGGAACAGCAGGAGGAGGAGCUGGGUCGACUGCGCCUGGGCGUGGGGGCGACAGACUCAGAGAAAAGGGUUCAGCAUCUCACUCUGGAGAACGAGGCCCUGAAGCAGAGCCUGAGCCUCAUGCGGGACCUUCUGCUGCACUGGGGUCCCGGCCCCCCUACCAGGGCUCCGCAGGAGGAGGCGGAGGCAUUGGUGGAGCUUCAGGGCCGGCUUCAGGAGGCCCAGGACACCACAGAAGCCCUCCGAGCCCAGCUGGGGGUGCAGGAGGUGCAGCUGCAGGGCCUUCAAGGGGCCCUCCAGCAGCUCCAGCAGGAGACGGAGCAGAACUGCAGGCGAGAGUUACUGCAGAUGCAUGGGCAGCUGGCAGGACUUCGGGCACGGAUGGCCAGCCUGCGUCAGGGCUGCGGCGAUCUCCGAGGAUUGGUCAGCACCUUUACCCAGAGCUGUCAGGGUUCGCUGAGUGAGGCCCGGGGCCAGGUCAGGACCCCUCACCGCCUAGCCCCUCCUCUCUGGGCAGCCUAUUCACUGUUCUUUUGACGGGGGUGCUCCUGGGGAGUUGGCUGUACUAAUAAGUGGGGCUCUGGAACCCAAACAGCUUCUGUGUGACCCAGGCUGGGACUUCGCUUCUGGGUCUGGUUUUCAUCAUGUGCAUACUUGGGUGACAGUAAACUCUUUUUUUUUUCAAUUUUAAUAAUAAAUUUUAUUUAUUCUAAUAGAUCUCUUUUUUUUUUUUGAGACGGAGUCUCGCUGUGUCGCCCAGGCUGGAGUGCAGUGGUGCGAUCUCGGCUCGCUGCAAGCUCUGCCUCCUGGGUUCACGCCAUUCUCCUGCCUCAGCCUCCAAGUA